Molecule: ribosomal RNA, 437 nt
Filed under: uncultured bacterium
Lineage: Bacteria
Description: bacterial SSU rRNA
Rfam family: Bacterial small subunit ribosomal RNA
Source: RNAcentral
AUGAAUGCUGGCGGCGUGCCUAAUACAUGCAAGUCGAGUGGGUUUAGACCCACGGCGAACGGGUGAGUAACACGUAGGUAUCUGCCCGAUAGUGGGGCAUACCCAGCCGAAAGGUUGGAUAAUUCCCCAUAUUAUCCAGACGCAAGUCUGGAUGAAAGAUUUAUCGCUAUCGGAGGAACCUGCGGCCUAUCAGCUAGUUGGUGGGGUAAUGGCCUACCAAGGCAACGACGGGUAGCUGGACCGAGAGGUUGACCAGCCACAAUGGGACUGAGACACGGCCCAUACUCCUACGGGAGGCAGCAGUAAGGAAUUUUGCGCAAUGGACGAAAGUCUGACGCAGCGACGCCGCGUGACCGAAGAAGUCUUUCGGGAUGUAAAGGUCUUUUGAUUGGGAAAAUUGUGAUUGUACCAAUCGAAUAAGCACCGGCUAAUUACGU